Molecule: long non-coding RNA, 492 nt
Organism: Molossus molossus (Pallas's mastiff bat)
Lineage: Eukaryota; Metazoa; Chordata; Mammalia; Chiroptera; Molossidae
Exons: 3
Source: RefSeq, a predicted model, not a curated record
CUGCCACCCACACAACCCCAACCGGGGCUGGGGACAAACUGCAACGAGUUCACAAAUGCUUUUCCUCGGGGGAGAAGGAAGAAAUGUGCUUUCCAACAAAGACCAGCCUGACACCCGCAUCCCCAGGUCACACCUCAGCCGCCAUGGUUUCCAGGGUUAUCAUGGCCAUAACUAGGAGAGGACAGAAAUUCACAAGCUUUGGGAAAAGACGGAAGAUGAAGAGGUGGACAGGAAUUUCAAAGCUUGAAUGGAGAUAGAAUUAGCCUUGUUUGAAACACUUGCAGAACUUUACGCCCACUUUCUAUUUAUAAAUAUCCUUGUCUCUCAGAGUGCUCCUCCUGCACAAGGCUUCAGUGGAAGAUAAACACAGAGCAGCUGCUGGAGAGGCACAGAGGCGUGGCCGGUGUGGCUCAGUGGAUUCAGCAUCGUCCCAUGGACAAAGAGGUCCUGGUUCGAUUCCCAGUCAGGACACAUGCCCAGGUUGUGGUUUCG